This is a small nuclear RNA of Cavia aperea (Brazilian guinea pig), 106 nucleotides long. The record is from Ensembl. Lineage: Eukaryota; Metazoa; Chordata; Mammalia; Rodentia; Caviidae.
GUGCUCGCUUUGGCAGCACACAUACUAAAAUUGGAAUGAUAUGAGAAGAUUAGUGUGGCCCCUAUGCAAGGGUGAGAUGCAAAUUCAUGAAGCAUUCCGUAUUUUU